This 597-nucleotide unclassified non-coding RNA is filed under the name Hevea brasiliensis (rubber tree). The record is from RNAcentral. Lineage: Eukaryota; Viridiplantae; Streptophyta; Magnoliopsida; Malpighiales; Euphorbiaceae.
AUUGCAUGACAUGCAACUGUUGCUUGGGAAUUAAGUUAGUGAAUCACAAGUGCCUGGAAAAAGGUUUAGAGACAAACUGCCCCAUCUGCUGUGAUUUUUUGUUCACUUCAAGUGCAAUAGUCAGGGCUUUGCCUUGUGGCCAUUACAUGCAUUCAGCUUGCUUUCAGGCAUACACUUGCAGUCACUACACCUGCCCAAUAUGCAGCAAAUCUUUAGGAGAUAUGGCGGGGUACUUUGGCAUGCUUGAUGCAUUGUUGGCUACAGAGGAGCUUCCGGAGGAAUAUAGGGACCAUUAUCAGGAUAUACUAUGCAAUGAUUGUGAUCGAAAGGGCACUGCACGCUUCCACUGGUUAUAUCAUAAAUGUGGAUUUUGUGGAUCUUACAAUACUCGGGUGAUUAAGAGUGAAUCAGCGAAACCCGACUCCUCUGCAUCACAUCAAUGAGAGGUUAGUCUGUACAUAGUUGUCAAUUCAAUCAAAUUUUCUGCCCAAAAGAAAAGCAGUUACUGGUCAUUACGUCUAUAUGUUCUGCUAAAAUGUGUCACUCCUGUAGAAGCUGUUGAAAAGAUUAUAUUCCCUUUGGUUUAGUUCCUUUAUA